This 502-nucleotide ribosomal RNA is filed under the name uncultured bacterium. RNAcentral describes it as "partial 16S ribosomal RNA". It matches the Rfam family "Bacterial small subunit ribosomal RNA", at positions 30 to 523 of the family's 1533-position model. The record is from RNAcentral.
AUUGAACGCUGGCGGCAGGCUUAACACAUGCAAGUCGAGCGGGGUGAUGGUGCUUGCACUAUCACUUAGCGGCGGACGGGUGAGUAAUGCUUAGGAAUCUGCCUAUUAGUGGGGACAACAUCUCGAAAGGGAUGCUAAUACCGCAUACGUCCUACGGGAGAAAGCAGGGGAUCACUUGUGACCUUGCGCUAAUAGAUGAGCCUAAGUCGGAUUAGCUAGUUGGUGGGGUAAAGGCCUACCGAGGCGACGAUCUGUAGCGGGUCUGAGAGGAUGAUCCGCCACACUGGGACUGAGACACGGCCCAGACUCCUACGGGAGGCAGCAGUGGGGAAUAUUGGACAAUGGGGGGAACCCUGAUCCAGCCAUGCCGCGUGUGUGAAGAAGGCCUUAUGGUUGUAAAGCACUUUAAGCGAGGAGGAGGCUCUUUUGGUUAAUACCCAAGAUGAGUGGACGUUACUCGCAGAAUAAGCACCGGCUAACUCUGUGCCAGCCGCCGCGGUAA